GUUCUUUUGCAGAUAAUGUAAUUAUAAGACAUAAGAUGUACUUAAAACUCUAAAGAUGAUGUCAAAUUAAGAGCAAAAUAGUGUUACCAAUGUAUGCACAUUGAAGGAAGUGUCAAAAUGAAGCUAGAUCUAGGAAAUUGAGUGUCAUGCCCCAUCAGCUAAUCCAAAUCCUGUUCGAAAUUACAUCUAGGCCUACAUAAACUCCAUUUGGAGAUUCAGAACCUAACAUCUUCAUAAUCACAUGAGAAAUUUAGAGAUAUAUAUUUAAUGGAAGACAGGAUUCAGGUUGAAUGUAGGGAUCAAAGAUAGCAGCAACUUGCUCCUUGUUGGAGUCAUUAUGGCUUGGCCACAAGGUCAAGAUGUUGUCUAAAAGGAAGUUGUGUGAUGUUUAGAACUCUAAUAAAGCUUUA
RNAcentral lists this unclassified non-coding RNA (410 nucleotides) under Hevea brasiliensis (rubber tree). Lineage: Eukaryota; Viridiplantae; Streptophyta; Magnoliopsida; Malpighiales; Euphorbiaceae. The record is from RNAcentral.